GCCCUAGUAACGGCGAGUGAAGCGGCAACAGCUCAAAUUUGAAAUCUGGCCCCCCGGCCCGAGUUGUAAUUUGCAGAGGAUGCUUCGGGCGCGGUGCCUUCCAAGUCCCCUGGAACGGGGCGCCACAGAGGGUGAGAGCCCCGUCAGGUCGGCCACCAAGCCUGUGUGAAGCUCCUUCGACGAGUCGAGUAGUUUGGGAAUGCUGCUCUAAGUGGGAGGUAGACCCCUUCUAAAGCUAAAUACCGGCCAGAGACCGAUAGCGCACAAGUAGAGUGAUCGAAAGAUGAAAAGCACUUUGAAAAGAGGGUUAAAUAGUACGUGAAAUUGUUGAAAGGGAAGCGCUUGUGACCAGACGUGCGCCGGGGUGUUCAGCGGGCGUUCUCGCCCGUGCACUCGCCCCGGCGCAGGCCAGCGUCGGUUCUGGCGGGGGGACAAAGACGACGGGAACGUAGCUCCCCCGGGAGUGUUAUAGCCCGUCGUGCCAUGCCCCCGCCGGGACCGAGGUUCGCGCUCCGCAAGGACGCUGGCGUAAUGGUCCCCAGCGGCCCGUCUUGAAACACGGACCAAGGAGUCGAGGUUUUGCGCGAGUGUUUGGGUGUCAAACCCGCACGCGUAAUGAAAGUGAACGUAGGUGGGAGCUUCGGCGCACCACCGACCGAUCCUGAUGUGCUCGGAUGGAUUUGAGUAGGAGCGCAGGGCCUCGGACCCGAAAGAUGGUGAACUAUACGUGGAUAGGGUGAAGCCAGAGGAAACUCUGGUGGAGGCUCGCAGCGGUUCUGACGUGCAAAUCGAUCGUCAAAUCUGCGUAUGGGGGCGAAAGACUAAUCGAACCAUCUAGUAG
Molecule: ribosomal RNA, 841 nt
Filed under: Menisporopsis theobromae
Lineage: Eukaryota; Fungi; Ascomycota; Sordariomycetes; Chaetosphaeriales; Chaetosphaeriaceae
Description: partial large subunit ribosomal RNA
Rfam family: Eukaryotic large subunit ribosomal RNA
Source: RNAcentral